AAAUAGAAAGGAGUUGAAGGAAAUAAGUUUAAAGAUAAUCCUGAUAGUCUACCGGCGGGACGUCAGUAGGAUUUUCUCCAGUGUCUGCUUUUGACUUUUGUUUGCUUCGAGUCAAGCUUAUAGCUUGAUAGCAGGUCACUUUUGUUGGACCUUCAGAACCUGCUCUUUUAAUUGUAAUUUGUACUUUCUUUUAUGUGUAGUCAGUGCUCCAAAACUCUUGUAUUAAGACAAUUAAG
Molecule: long non-coding RNA, 236 nt
Organism: Populus euphratica (Euphrates poplar)
Lineage: Eukaryota; Viridiplantae; Streptophyta; Magnoliopsida; Malpighiales; Salicaceae
Exons: 3
Source: RefSeq, a predicted model, not a curated record